This 766-nucleotide ribosomal RNA is filed under the name uncultured fungus. RNAcentral describes it as "SSU rRNA". It matches the Rfam family "Eukaryotic small subunit ribosomal RNA", at positions 800 to 1590 of the family's 1831-position model. The record is from RNAcentral. Lineage: Eukaryota; Fungi.
GAUUUUAGCAUGGAAUAAUGGAAUAGGACAUCGGUUCUAUUUUGUUGGUUUCUAGGACCGCUGUAAUGAUUAAUAGGGAUAGUCGGGGGCGUCCGUAUUCAAUUGUCAGAGGUGAAAUUCUUGGAUUUAUUGAAGACGAACUACUGCGAAAGCAUUCGCCAAGGAUGUUUUCAUUAAUCAGUGAACGAAAGUUAGGGGAUCGAAGACGAUCAGAUACCGUCGUAGUCUUAACCAUAAACUAUGCCGACUAGGGAUCGGACGAUGUUAUUUCUUGACGCGUUCGGCACCUUUCGAGAAAUCAAAGUGCUUGGGCUCCAGGGGGAGUAUGGUCGCAAGGCUGAAACUUAAAGAAAUUGACGGAAGGGCACCACCAGGGGUGGAACCUGCGGCUUAAUUUGACUCAACACGGGGAAACUCACCAGGUCCAGACACAGUGAGGAUUGACAGAUUGAGAGCUCUUUCUUGAUUCUGUGGGUGGUGGUGCAUGGCCGUUCUUAGUUGGUGGAGUGAUUUGUCUGCUUAAUUGCGAUAACGAACGAGACCUUAACCUGCUAAAUAGCCCGUACUGCUCUGGCAGUUCGCCGGCUUCUUAGAGGGACUAUCGGCUCAAGCCGAUGGAAGUUUGAGGCAAUAACAGGUCUGUGAUGCCCUUAGAUGUCCUGGGCCGCACGCGCGUUACACUGACAGGGCCAGCGAGUACCUCCUUGGCCGAAAGGCCCGGGUAAUCUUGUUAAACUCCGUCGUGCUGGGGAUAGGGCAUUGCAAU